RNAcentral lists this ribosomal RNA (253 nucleotides) under uncultured bacterium. RNAcentral describes it as "partial 16S ribosomal RNA". It matches the Rfam family "Bacterial small subunit ribosomal RNA", at positions 524 to 776 of the family's 1533-position model. The record is from RNAcentral.
UACAGAGGUGGCAAGCGUUGUUCGGAUUCAUUGGGCGUAAAGGGUCCGUAGGCGGUUUGGAAAGUCGGAUGUGAAAUCCUACAGCUUAACUGUAGAACUGCAUUCGAAACUUCUGAACUAGAGUGUGAGAGGGGUAAAGGGAAUUCCUGGUGUAAGGGUGAAAUCUGCAGAGAUCAGGAAGAACACCUGUCGCGAAGGCGCUUUACUGGCUCAUUACUGACGCUGAGGGACGAAAGCUAGGGGAGCAAACGGG